CCUACGGGGGGCAGCAGUGGGGAAUAUUGCACAAUGGGGGAAACCCUGAUGCAGCGACGCCGCGUGAGUGAAGAAGUAAUUCGGUAUGUAAAGCUCUAUCAGCAGGGAAGAAAAUGACGGUACCUGAGUAAGAAGCCCCGGCUAACUACGUGCCAGCAGCCGCGGUAAUACGUAGGGGGCAAGCGUUAUCCGGAUUUACUGGGUGUAAAGGGAGCGUAGACGGCAGUGCAAGUCUGAAGUGAAAGGCGGGGGCUCAACCCCCGGACUGCUCUGGAAACUGUACGGCUGGAGUGCAGGAGAGGUAAGUGGAAUUCCUAGUGUAGCGGUGAAAUGCGUAGAUAUCAGGAGGAACACCAGUGGCGAAGGCGGCUUACUGGACUGUAACUGACGUUGAGGCUCGAAAGCGUGGGGAGCAAACAGGAUUAGAUACCCCGGUAGUC
Molecule: ribosomal RNA, 440 nt
Filed under: uncultured bacterium
Lineage: Bacteria
Description: partial 16S ribosomal RNA
Rfam family: Bacterial small subunit ribosomal RNA
Source: RNAcentral